GGGGCUCGAUCCCAGAACCCUCGGAUCAUGCCCUGAGCCAAAGGCAGAUGCUUAACGACUAAGCCACAUAGGCACCCCCACUUCAUACGUAUAAACCCCUUCGUCCUCAGAAAUGCCAGGACUGCUCUUACUGCCGUUCCGCAGACGAGAUGGAUCUACCGAAAGUUCUGUAGCUGGUCCGUGGCUCAUGAUGGCGGAGCUGGACCUCCAGCCCCCACCCAGGUGGUGGCUUGGGAAAGCAGAUACCUGAGAGCCCGGAGGUGUGGGCUGGGUCCACGAAUGGGCGCUGCCGCCUGCAGACCACGCUUCCAGGAACACAGAAGUGCCGUCACCUGAGCCCCUUGGCUCAGCCACUUGAACCAAUCAUGGUGGCUCUGAUUUGCCACACGUGGGUCCCAUGGCCAAUCCUCGUGUUUGGGAGACAGAGGGAACCAGACCUAAGCCAUGGAGACCCAAAAUGGGAGGAGAGCCUCAAGGAUAAACACAGUUUCUGUAAUCACAUGACGUUUGGACAACUUGGUACCCCCCCGUGCCUCAGUUUCUUCAUCUGUGAUUUGGGGACAAUAGCACCUGCCUCGCUGCAUUGUUGUGAGGACAAAAUUAGUGAGACCAGUUAAGCACUUCAGCUCGUGCCUGGAACAACAAGCACCUGAUGAGAAUUAGAUACCCACUUUGUGCAUGUUACAGCAUGAAUACAACAUUUAUGUUGACGCUUGUGACAAGGGCACAAGAGCCCCCAGCCCCACGUCUGCAAAUACACGUGAGGAUGCAAACAUGGACGGAAGCCACACCACCACUUGGAGCGCACAGGCACAUGGGACAUCUGGAGGAUGUUCACACAAGACACAAAGAAAAAAAGCAAAACUGCAGCUUGGAGAGGUGAUGUGACUUACCCAAGGUGAUGCCAUGCAGGAGGAAGGAAGGGGGCUGGGAUGGAAAUCCAGGCUGGGUCCUUCCAGGUCCCAAGGGAACACCCUCUCCUCCAAAACCUCCUCCCCUGGAGGUUGUAAGGGAGAGGUCCUGGCGACAGCCUCUGCCACUGGGGGCAGCCCAGACCUGCCCCAGGCUCCAGAGUACAAUCAGCCCAGCUCUUCGGAGGACCCAGUUGCUGUGGGGCCUCCCUCACCUACCCCAUCCAGGCACCCAC
Long non-coding RNA from Mustela erminea (ermine), 1147 nucleotides. RefSeq lists it as uncharacterized. NCBI's taxonomy places the organism in Eukaryota, Metazoa, Chordata, Mammalia, Carnivora, Mustelidae. The transcript is spliced from 3 exons. The record is from RefSeq and is a predicted model, not a curated record.